GAAAUGCGAUAAGUAAUGUGAAUUGCAGUAUUCAGUGAAUCAUCGAAUCUUUGAACGCACCUUGCGCUCCUUGGUAUUCCUUGGAGCAUGCCUGUUUGAGUAUCAUGAAAUCUUCAAAGUAAAUCUUUUGUUAACUCAAUUGGUUUCUACUUUGGUAUUGGAGGUCUUUGCAGCUUCACACCUGCUCCUCUUUGUUCAUUAGCUGGAUCUCAGUGUUAUGCUUGGUUCCACUCGGCGUGAUAAGUUAUCUAUCGCUGAGGACACUGUAAAAGGUGGCCAAGGUAAAUGCAGAUGAACCGCUUCUAAUAGUCCAUUGACUUGGACAAUACUUUUAUGAUCUGAUCUCAAAUCAGGUAGGACUACCCGCUGAACUUAAGC
RNAcentral lists this unclassified non-coding RNA (378 nucleotides) under plant metagenome. Its description in RNAcentral is "partial contains 5.8S ribosomal RNA, internal transcribed spacer 2, and large subunit ribosomal RNA". The stretch from base 1 to 105 matches the Rfam family "5.8S ribosomal RNA", at positions 50 to 154 of the family's 154-position model. The record is from RNAcentral.